RNAcentral lists this ribosomal RNA (497 nucleotides) under uncultured bacterium. Its description in RNAcentral is "partial 16S ribosomal RNA". It matches the Rfam family "Bacterial small subunit ribosomal RNA", at positions 28 to 507 of the family's 1533-position model. The record is from RNAcentral.
GAUGAACGCUGGCGGCGUGCCUAACACAUGCAAGUCGAGCGAACAGACGAGGAGCUUGCUCCUCUGACGUUAGCGGCGGACGGGUCAGUAACACGUGGAUAACCUACCUAUAAGACUGGGAUAACUUCGGGAAACCGGAGCUAAUACCGGAUAAUAUAUUGAACCGCAUGGUUCAAUAGUGAAAGACGGUUUUGCUGUCACUUAUAGAUGGAUCCGCGCCGCAUUAGCUAGUUGGUAAGGUAACGGCUUACCAAGGCAACGAUGCGUAGCCGACCUGAGAGGGUGAUCGGCCACACUGGAACUGAGACACGGUCCAGACUCCUACGGGAGGCAGCAGUAGGGAAUCUUCCGCAAUGGGCGAAAGCCUGACGGAGCAACGCCGCGUGAGUGAUGAAGGUCUUCGGAUCGUAAAACUCUGUUAUUAGGGAAGAACAAAUGUGUAAGUAACUAUGCACGUCUUGACGGUACCUAAUCAGAAAGCCACGGCUAACUACGUG